Molecule: RNA transcript, 4231 nt
Organism: Oncorhynchus masou masou (cherry salmon)
Lineage: Eukaryota; Metazoa; Chordata; Actinopteri; Salmoniformes; Salmonidae
Gene name: RAS guanyl-releasing protein 2-like
Exons: 18
Source: RefSeq, a predicted model, not a curated record
UGAGCUGAACCACUGCUGUGUUAACCUCACAGCACAGCAUAUUACUUAUGUACGGCUCUAGCGAUCUCGAGUAAAGAGAGUAAAACCGCAACAGGCAUCUAUUUUAACUUGGCGCUAAGUGCUGGCAGCUGGCAGUAGUAGUGCGUUGCAUAAGCGCAUGGGCAGACGUGUAUUUGAGACCUGUAGCUGUGGAGCAUCAACUCCAACGGAUCUCAUAUCUGGAACUUGUGACUUCAUUUUCGCAUGAUUUACUGUUUUUUUUUGUUGCAAUGACUUGCAAGUGCAUGCAUAGACUUUAUCGUUUGGUCUAGUUGCUACCCAAAAAACGACACCCGUACAGUUCGAUCAAUGUGAUCUAGACCAUAGCCAGCCAACCUACAUGGUCUGGUAAUUUGUUUAUGGAAGGCAUCCUGGCGUAGAGGCUGACAUUAUUUUAGUUUCAGCGCAUAACUAGGCAAACAUUUCGUGUGAUGGGACUCUCCAAACUCUGAAGGAGUGUCACUGAAGUGGGAAGACUGGGAAAACGAGAGGACUAGAGGAGAAAGAUGGAGCCCAUAUCUUUAGAUGGGGCUGCAACGGUGGAGGAGCUGGUGGAAGCGUGCAUCCAAGCCUUCGAUGAGAAGGGCACUUUGAAGGACCCCUCCAUAGUGCGCAUGUUCCUCAUGAUGCACCCAUGGUACCUCCCGUCCACCGACAUGGCUAAGAAACUACUGCUCAAAUCGCAGGAUGAGAGCUGUUCUGCUGAACGCAGGACAAGAAUCUGCCACCUGGUGAAGUACUGGAUUUCGGAGUUCCCGGCAGAGUUCAAUCUGAACCCAGAACUAGCAGAGCAGAUUAAAGACCUCAAGGACCUAUUGACCACUGAGGGGAACGAGCGCCAGAGUCAGCUCAUCGACAUCGACAGUGUACCGUCGUACAAAUGGAAGCGUCAGGUGACCCAGCGGCAACCCUCUAUGUCCAAGAAGAGGAAGAUGUCUCUGCUGUUUGACCACCUGGACUCCUGUGAGCUGGCCACACACCUCACCUACCUGGAGUACAAGUCAUUCUGCAAGAUACUGUUUCAGGACUACCACAGCUUUGUGAUGCAUGGCUGCACGGUGGACAACCCCAUCCUGGAGCGCUUCAUCACCCUGUUCAACAGUGUGUCUCAGUGGAUCCAGCUGAUGGUGCUCAGCAAGCCCACCGCCCCCCAGAGGGCUGCUGUCAUCUCCCACUUCAUCAGGGUGGCUCAGAAACUGCUCCAGCUUCAGAACUUCAACACUCUGAUGGCGGUGGUGGGAGGGCUCAGUAACAGCUCUAUAUCUCGCCUCAAAGACACCCAGUCACACAUCAGCAACGAGACCAACAAGGUGUUCAACAGCCUGAUCGAGUUAGUGACGUCUUGUGGGAACUACAGCCAGUACCGCCGCCGCUUCUCCGAGUGCACAGGCUUCCGCUUCCCCAUCCUGGGCGUGCACCUCAAGGACCUGAUUGCCGUGCAUGUGGCACUGUCCGACUGGGCCGACCCGGGCAAGAGCAGGGUCAACCUGGCGAAGUGUCAACAGCUGUAUGCCAUCCUCCAGGAGCUGGCGCUGAUCCAGACCACACCACCCACCAUUGAUUCCAACACUGACCUGCUCAAUCUACUCACAGUGUCUCUGGACCAGUACCACACCGAGGAGGAGAUCUACCAGCUGUCUCUACAGAGAGAGCCACGCAAUGCUAAACCAGCAAACUCUGGCCCCGCCCCCGCGCCCGCCCCCAAGCCCUCUAUGAUUGACGAGUGGGCAGCGUCGGUGAAGCCCAAAGCAGACCCUGCGGUCAUCAACAAACACAUAGAGAAGAUGGUGGACUCUGUCUUCAAGAACUUUGACACGGACGGGGAUGGUCACAUCUCCAGGGAGGAGUUUGAGAUCAUCAGGGACAACUUCCCCUACCUCAGCAAGUUUGGAGAACUGGACAAGAACCAAGAUGGGAAGAUUAGCAGAGAGGAGAUGAUUGACUAUUUCAUGAAGGCCAGCUCUCUGCUCAACUGUAAGAUGGGCUUCAUCCACACCUUCGCAGAGACCACCUACGUCAAGCCCACCUUUUGUGAACACUGCACUGGCUUUAUAUGGGGCUUCUACAAACAGGGAUACAAGUGUAAAGCUUGUGGAAUUAACUGUCACAAGGCGUGUCAAGGUCGUCUGGCGGUGGAGUGUCGUAAACGGACCAAGAGCAUUAGCCACGAGCACGCACCCUCUCUCCAGGCACGCUCCUACAGCUUCCCCCCUCCGGCCAACAGCCCACCCAGCCUACAGAACACAGUGAUUGUAGAGGAAGACCUAGAGGCUGUGGAGGAAGGAAUGUUUGAUAUCCAUCUAUAACCAGGUGGACUCCAAUCAAGUUGUAGAAACAUCUCAAGGAUGAUCAAUGGAAACAGGAUGCACCUGAGCUCAAUUUCAGGUCUCAUAACAAAGGGUCUGAAAACUUAUAAGUCUGCAUUCAGCCUAACACAGCUGGGAGGAAACAACAGAAGAUGUGAGCCAGAAGCAUAGCCUACUAUGGCGGCCUUAGUGCUGGAGUCUGUUCAGAAAGGUGCAAUCUGUCAUCUAGAACAGACACGAUUCCCUCUUCUAUAUGACAGACAAUCAUAUCUCCUCUACGUAAUGGAUUUCUGAGUCUGAACAUUGCAUGUAGAAAUGUCAUGAAUAGAGCAGACACGAUUCCCUCUUCUUUGACAGACACGAUUGUCUGCUCUUUUCAUUCCAUUUCUAUAUGCAACGUUCAGACUGUCUAGGAUAGAAAUCCAUUAUGUAGAGCAGAUAAGAUUGUCUGUUGUGUAGAAGAGGGACUGGUGUAAGCUCUUCAUUUCAUUUCUAUCUGCAAUGUUCAGUGUGUUUCACAUCACUGACUGAACACCCCGGUGAGACUUCCAGAGAGAGAGAAGAAAUUGCACUGAACCCAACACAGGAUACAGACAUGCUGUCACAUCGUGGACAAAAACUGCAACUGCAAAUCUUCAAGCACUCAAUACUUCUUCCUCUGUGUAUCUCAACUCCCUUUAAACAAGUGAAUGUGAUUUUUGACGAGAAUAUCUUUCUACGUUAAAUCUGCAUUUUAGAUUCUGGAUAUGGGCCAAUUUUUUCAUCUCUUACAUAUUUUUAAGCACUGAAUAUAGAAAAAAAUCCACAUAAUUGUAUUUUCAGGGUAGAGAUGUCAUUGGGUUAGUGUAAUGUUAUUGCCUCCAAGUUUCAGUGGUGUUGUGUUUUCAGUGCAUUUCGCUGUACAUUAUUCUAAAUUACUAACCUAAAUGUCUCUCUAAAAUACAAGAGGUGCUGUUGUUGCCAAGAAAGAAUGUAUAGGCUCGAUGCCACCCGGACUUCCGUCUUUCUGAGAAAGCUUUGCUUUUGUCUUAGUAGUUUGUCAUCUUGUUAAUUUUAGUGAAUGGUAUGAGAGAAAUUUCAAACACCAUGUGUUCGAUGUCCGAGAUGAAAUGUUUCAGCUCCCGAUCUAACUGUUGACUGCAUCCCUGGAUUGGGAAUCUCACUUGGAUCGAUCUCGACAGCAACAAUAUCAACGACCCAAAUGGACUGUGGGAAAACUCCAGAAUUGGAAUAUUUAUUUGAAUGCUGACGUAUUUCCCGCCCUUCUGUUACCUGAAUAUUAAUGACUGUUCUAUGGUAAUUUGACUGUGGUGCGUAAAGCAUGGUAUGUGGUUAUUAUGGUCUGUUUCGUUGCAUGGGCCACUGUACCUUUCCUCUCUGUAACUUUGGAUGUAGUUUGAAACAGUGAAUAUUAUAUAUCGUCCUGAGAUGUGAACUCUAUUUUAUGAGACAUGUUCAAGCCUGUAUUUUAUCCUUCUGAGACCCAGUAAAAAAAAGGGAUGGAAAAAGGGGUGUUUUGUAGAGAGAGAGAGGGGGGGGGGGGAUACAAAGAAAAAUAAUUUGAACAAAUAUUGUUUGUUAUUUGAUGUGCACUGUAGUGGAUAUGAGCGGGUGAUAGUAAAUAUGGAACAGUACAGUAAGUGAAGAGCAUAGUUUUGAUGUCCACUACAGAGGACCUUAAUGAACAUGCUCUUAUUGUUUCUUUUUUUUUUAACCAAGGAGAGAAAGUUGCAUGUGAUAUCAUUGAAACUCCCAUAACGUCCUCUCAAAGGUAGAACAGCACAUAAAGUAACUGACCCGUGAUUCCAGAUUUGUAUGAAAUGUGACCUAUGAUUAAUUACAAUAUGAGUCAAAUAGUUUACAUUAAAAAAAAGUAAUUAAGUAUG